UCUCUACUUACUCUCUCUACAAUAUACUACACUCUCUACUUACUCUCUCUACAAUAUACUACACUCUACUCUAUAUUAUUCAUUUAUUCUUCUCUACUCUACAAUCUCUCUUAUUAAGUAAUUAUUCUCUCUAAUUUUUUUUAUUCAAUUUUCCAAAUUAUAUUUUAUUAUCAUAUAAUGGCAAGUGGAGGAAACUCAAAUUCGGGUAAGGGCAAGGGAAAAAUUGGAGAAUCAUCUAUCCCUACAAACGACAUCUAUGAUAUGAUUCCCGACCAAUUUAAUUUUGAAGGUUUUCCAAAUGAAAAUUUCGAUAUUCUAACUCAAGAAUUCGAAUUUAAUGAGCAAUUUUAAGAAGAUGAAGAGCAAGAGCAAGAGCAACGAGCAAAAAUUGUUACAAGAGCAAGACAAAGUUCCGACAUAUUCUCCAUUCAUUUCACAAAAAAAUUCAAAGGUGAGAAAAUGUACGAUGUAAUUUGCAAUUAUUGUGGAAAAUCUUAUAAAUUUAAACAAGCGGGCGGCUAUGGAUCAUUU
This 531-nucleotide long non-coding RNA is filed under the name Jatropha curcas. RNAcentral describes it as "long non-coding RNA (JCUR_LNC003068)". The record is from RNAcentral. Lineage: Eukaryota; Viridiplantae; Streptophyta; Magnoliopsida; Malpighiales; Euphorbiaceae.